Long non-coding RNA from Homo sapiens (human), 3769 nucleotides. RefSeq annotates it as long independently transcribed non-coding RNA 2863. The transcript has 2 exons. The record is from RefSeq and is marked validated. Lineage: Eukaryota; Metazoa; Chordata; Mammalia; Primates; Hominidae.
AGACCACUUCCUCUGCUCCCCAGCGCCGGAUGGAUGCAGAUCUGUGAGUAAGGAGCCAGCUGCAGGCAAGCAGCUCGAGGGCAGGUGGGCAUGAUGUCUGGCUACCACUCGCACUGGACGCCACACACACAGCCAGGGUGGCAGAAGGCCCCACCUGCCAUGUGCCAGUGGGACACCACCCUCAUGGUCUGCGUUUCCAGGUUUCCAACUAAGGACUGAGCACACUCUCAACAUGGACCUCCUAACUGCUCUCGAGGAUGGACAGCUGGCCUCAAGGGAACACUGCAAAGUGGCUCUAGGAAGAAGCCACUGUCCCUCCAGACCAUAAAAAUGGCUACCAAGGGCAGAGCCAGCAGCUUUCGCUGUAAAGUUUCUCAAGAAAAUCACAGAUAUUCCCCUCUGUGAUGUUCAGCUCAGCCUGGAAAGGAGGACGCUGAACUAAACAGAAGAGAAACAGGGAAAUAAACAGCAUGGCAACCUACAUCAACAGAAACUUAAUUAUUCACCCUGGAUAACUGAGUGUGUGAGUGUGACUGCAAAUAACAAUAUAGCAAAGAGAAGUUUGAGAUCUUUGGCUCAGUCAUUCUAGAAUCCUGAGUCACAGCAAAUGCACAGCCUCCAUGAGGCUGAGCCACACAUGAAAGCUGCUUCCACCCACAGACUGGUAGAGGCCACUGACAUGCUUAACGAUGAUGAUGAUGAUAAAAAUAGCUACCACGGGCUACCACGUGCACACACAUGUUAAGCAGUUCAAACAGGUUAUUUUGUUUAAUUCAUACCACAAAUCUUUGAGGUAAGUAUUCUUGUUCCCGUUUUAUAGAGGUAGAAACUGAGAGUUGAAGAGGCUGAAUAAUUUCUCAAGCACACUCCCAACUCGACCACCCACAAGCAAAAAGGCAGAGCUGGGAUUCAAACACAGGUAUGACUGUGUGUGGACAUCUCCCCUGUGCUAUGCUCCCUGAAGGAAAAUUCUAAGUGGUGUUGUUUCUGGGAGAAAUCUACCUGUGUGGUCUUUAAACCUACUCUGACAGGAGCAAGGGCCACCACUCUGUAUCUAAGACCACUGGGAACAGUCUUCAGGCAACAAGGUGACCAGGGCAGCUGCAGAGGGUAUCUAUGCCCCUGCCCCCUAGCGCAAAAGUCUGUUUCUCUUUCCAAAUGGCCCGCUGGGAGCAACUAUUUAGGGAGACCAUACCUCCUCCCACACUCAGUUCCCAGGCCUGAGCCACAGAGUCCUGCCACAGGAGGGAGGACCUGCCUGUCCUGCUCCCUCCCCACUCCAGGUUCCUGGAGGCCUCUGUGAUGAUUCCCCAGGAAGGACUACAGGAUCUGGCAGGCAGCAGGUGGCGGUGGGAGGAGGAGAGUCCUGGGAGCACAGCACUCCUAACCCCCUCUGCCUCUCACAGAACAAAGAGGGAGUCAUGCCAUGUCCCCUGCUCCCACAAAUGCCCCACCCAGAGGGGCUAAUGCCUAGGAUUGAGGGUCUUGUGUGCUGAGGAAGUCCUGUCCCCCAAUCCCCUACAAAAGCCAGAACCAGCUACUAAGGGGUUAGACACAGACAGAACUGUCUAUAUUAACAUUUCCUCCUAAAAAACAACAGGAAUCCUGGGGAAAGACCACUGGCCUGGGACUCCAUGAGCCCUGGCUUCUAUCUCUGGCUUUAUCAGGUGACCAUAGGCAAGUCACCUAGCCUCCAUGGUCUAGGCUCUCCUGCCUGUUGGGUGGGAAUCAUUACAUAUCACAAUCAUUACAGCUGACCUUCAGGGAGGCUGUACUCUGGGUCAGGAAUUGUGUUGGGUGCAUUAUCAUAUUUAUUCUCACAGCACCCUUUGCAGUAGCUACUAUUUUCAUACCCAUUCUCAGAUGAGGAAACUGUGGAACAGGCUGGUUAGGGGACAUGCCCAAAGUGACAAACUUAGCAAAGGUGGACCUGGCACUCAGUACCACAUCUGUUUUUCCAUGCUCUUAACCACUGUAACAUACAGAGCCCUUUUACAGAGAUCAAGGACAGAGGUAAAAGUGUUUUGAAAGCAAAAAAAAAAAAGUGGGGAGGAUGCAUAAAAUAAACAUAAAUCACCCCCUGCCCCGCCCAGACAUAAUUCAGGGAAGAGUCCUAACCCCCAAGAACCUUCUGUGGAACUUAUUCGCAACAUCAGAGACCUCCAACAUAGAAAUGACCCUCAAUAAGUCAUUCCUCUUUCCCUUCAGGCAGGAAUAAUAUAACUAACUGAAUUAUACAGGUGAGACCACGAAGGUCAAGCAAGGGUGACCAGCUUAGGCCCCUGGCUGGCAGGUAAGGAGGAGACUGACCCCAGCCUCCUGGCUCCUAGGGGAGGAAACAGUGAUGACAAAGGCCCCUUUGCAUGGCCAAGGUGGAGCCCUUUCUACCAAAGUUUAAACGUUUUAGUAUAAUAUCCAAGUGCAUCUUUUCCAACCUUAAAAACAUAUUUAAUUUCCUUAUAAAGCUGGUUGGCACUCUCCUCCUCCUCCAAAGCUCUGUAUUAGGCAGGGUUCAUAGUUGUAGACAACAGAAUGAACAGUGGUUAGUUCAGCCAGAAAAGGGAUGAUAUAGGAGGAUACUGGGUUGAUCAAAGGCUCUCUGGGAGGGCUGCAGAUUUAGAGCCAGUCAGCCAGGAACGAUGCCUGAAACAUACCUUAGAGCUGGAGAAAGAACAAAACCCUACCUUUCUUCAAUAGCUGGCAAGGUGGCAAGGUCUGGCCCCAUGCAGCCUGGGCUCUUCCCACUCUCCUCUCUCCCUAAUGCGUUGCCCUACUCGCUGCUUCCCAGGCAAUCCCACCUCAGGUCUAUGAACUUGCCAUUCCCUCUGCCUGCAACCUAGACAUUCACAUUGCUAGCUCCCUGGCUAGCUCAAAUGCCAGGUUUCUGCACAAAUGCUCCUCCUUAGAGAGGCCUUCCUGGACCUCUAGGUCUCUGGCCCUAGUACUCUAUCCCCUCUCCCUGCUUUCCUCUUCUACUUCACUGCUCCUUAACAUUGUGUUAUACAUUGUCUGUCUCCCCAACUGGAAUGUAAGUGGCACCAGGGCAGGGACUUGGGUUGUUUUGUUCCUUGCUGUAAGCCCAGGGCCCAGGGCCAGACCUGGAACAAUUAGGUGCUAAGUUAUUUGCUGAAUAUUCUAUGAAGGAAUGACAAAGGAAUGCAUAAAGAACUUCAAAGUUCAACUCCUCGAACUUCAAACUUCAAAUCCCCAACUCCUCCUGCCUAUGCUGGACGAUUAGGGCAGUAACAGGAGUCAACUUGUGCUGUGCUGUCACCUUGCCUGGAUCCGCAUCAGCCCUGCAGCUCCCACUUUGGAGGAGACUUGCCCAGGGACCUACAGCUCUGAAGCUUCUCUGACAGCCUCUGCAGCUCUUGGAACUUAUCUGGGCUGCUGCUGUGCAGACCAUGGAUGCAUAGCUGAGUUCCUGCCCCUGAUUUCCUAGAGUCUCAGAAAGACAGGGAAGUGACUUACCCAAAGUCCCCUUUCACCCUAUAAACAGUUCAGCCCAGGGAGUGAGGCUGACACGCAAAUGCAGCUAUGUAUAGACUCAGAGUCAUCCAAGGUCAGGGCUGGGUGGAGCCUUGGUCACAUGCAGGCCAACCUGUGUCUGGAGAUAAUGCAAGCCAGUGCAGGGGUUAGCGUGUACAUGGACUCUGGAGUCUGGCAGAUCUAAGCCCCACCCACCAACCUGUGACCUUGGAGAAUUAUUUGAAAAGACAUUAUUUGAAAAGCAGAUGUAAAAUGGAAAUAAAAGUUCCUAUUUAAAACA